RNAcentral lists this ribosomal RNA (279 nucleotides) under uncultured bacterium. Its description in RNAcentral is "partial 16S ribosomal RNA". It matches the Rfam family "Bacterial small subunit ribosomal RNA", at positions 506 to 784 of the family's 1533-position model. The record is from RNAcentral.
UGCCAGCCGCCGCGGUAAUACGGAGGUGGCAAACGUUGCUCGGAAUCACUGGGCUUAAAGGGCGUGUAGGCGGCUUUCUAAGUCGGGUGUGAAAUCCCUCGGCUCAACCGAGGAAUUGCAUUCGAUACUGGAUAGCUAGAGUGCGGUAGGGGCAAGUGGAACUCCAGGUGUAGCGGUGAAAUGCGUAGAUAUCUGGAGGAACGCCGGUGGCGAAAGCGACUUGCUGGCCCGCAACUGACGCUGAGGCGCGAAAGCUAGGGGAGCGAACGGGAUUAGAUA